UCGGGCGUGGUGUAUGGCGCGCGCUCCUCCUUCUCACGGCUGUAGGCCAUAACUUUUAAAGGGAGAGGACCAGGUUCAACUCCUGGCGCCCGAA
Molecule: non-coding RNA, 94 nt
Organism: Mycena vulgaris
Lineage: Eukaryota; Fungi; Basidiomycota; Agaricomycetes; Agaricales; Mycenaceae
Source: the annotation of a GenBank genome assembly